CACUAGGAAGCUAAACACGGGCCUCGAGCGUUAGCCUUUUAAGCUAAAGAUUGGUGAUUCCCUACCACCCCCAGUGA
Molecule: transfer RNA, 77 nt
Filed under: Cheilinus fasciatus (redbreast wrasse)
Lineage: Eukaryota; Metazoa; Chordata; Actinopteri; Labriformes; Labridae
Description: tRNA-Lys
Rfam family: tRNA
About the family: Transfer RNA (tRNA) molecules are approximately 80 nucleotides in length. Their secondary structure includes four short double-helical elements and three loops (D, anti-codon, and T loops).
Source: RNAcentral